ACUCUUUCCCUGUUGCACUACUGUGGGCCGCUGGGAAGCAGUGCAAUGAUGAAAGGGCAU
This is a microRNA precursor of Ailuropoda melanoleuca (giant panda), 60 nucleotides long. The record is from Ensembl. NCBI's taxonomy places the organism in Eukaryota, Metazoa, Chordata, Mammalia, Carnivora, Ursidae.